This 74-nucleotide transfer RNA is filed under the name Candidatus Amesiibacteriota bacterium. RNAcentral describes it as "Candidatus Amesbacteria bacterium (hot springs metagenome) tRNA-Pro". It matches the Rfam family "tRNA". Rfam says of the family: Transfer RNA (tRNA) molecules are approximately 80 nucleotides in length. Their secondary structure includes four short double-helical elements and three loops (D, anti-codon, and T loops). The record is from RNAcentral. Lineage: Bacteria; Candidatus Amesiibacteriota.
CGGGGGUUAGCUCAGUUGGCUAGAGCGCACGGUUUGGGACCGUGAGGUCGAUGGUUCAAGUCCAUUACCCCCGA